CGAACGGGUGAGUAACGCGUGAGGAACCUGCCUCAAAGAGGGGGACAACAGUUGGAAACGACUGCUAAUACCGCAUAAGCCCACGGCUCGGCAUCGAGCAGAGGGAAAAGGAGUGAUCCGCUUUGAGAUGGCCUCGCGUCCGAUUAGCUAGUUGGUGAGGUAACGGCCCACCAAGGCAACGAUCGGUAGCCGGACUGAGAGGUUGAACGGCCACAUUGGGACUGAGACACGGCCCAA
RNAcentral lists this ribosomal RNA (237 nucleotides) under uncultured bacterium. Its description in RNAcentral is "partial 16S ribosomal RNA". It matches the Rfam family "Bacterial small subunit ribosomal RNA", at positions 99 to 334 of the family's 1533-position model. The record is from RNAcentral.